Molecule: long non-coding RNA, 8538 nt
Organism: Tympanuchus pallidicinctus (lesser prairie-chicken)
Lineage: Eukaryota; Metazoa; Chordata; Aves; Galliformes; Phasianidae
Exons: 3
Source: RefSeq, a predicted model, not a curated record
GAAUGAAAUCCCUGGGCAAUGGCUGAAGCAGUUCUGCCCAGAGACACCACUGCAGUUUUGCACUGCAGUAACAGCAAACAGUUGACUUGUGGGAAUGGUGCACGUGCUCCAUCUCUGCCUGGGAGUUGUUGGCCUUCACCUGGAACUGCUAAUGUGCAGUGAAGAGCAUGGCUGUGCAUUUGGGAGACCAAUUAUGGGAAAAGAACCACGUUCUGUACUGAAGAUGUGGAAGAGCCAUAGAUUUCAUAGUCAGAUAAUUAGGUUUACUUUGUUGUUCAUGUCUUUUUGAUAUGUAUUAUUUUUUCUUCUACUUUAUUUUUGCUAUUUUGACUCUUACUGCAUUUCCAUUUUAAUGGAACUUAAAAUCCUAAUGCCAACCUGUAAUUCCUGAUGGAUAAUUAUCAGGUUUGAAUCCUUAGUCUCCUAUGUGAAGCUAUGAAUUUUUUUCCAUAUGCAACAUUGCCUACGUUAUCAUUCAUCUGCCAUUCUGUUGCCCAGCCCCUCAAUAUUCAAUGGCUUCUUAGCAAUUCUUCCCAAUCUACCCUCAUUCAUAGCAUCUCAAGUAAUUUUUUAUCAGCAGUAAACUUUCUCACCUUUUGCCAGUUAUUUGUGAGCACACUGAAUAUCAGUAUAGAUCCCUGGGGAAAUUAGCUGAUGAUCUCUCUCCAUUGUGGAAGCUUACCUUUUUGUUUUUUGUCUUUUAAUGAGUUGCUUUUCCUUGAAAGGACUUUUCUUUCAUUCUAUGGCCAUGCAACUUCUGCAUACGUGUGAUUAAAAGGAGAAAAGUCAAAAUAUAUCAUCACCAGAGGCAAAAAUUCUGCAGAUCACAAAACUCCAGGCAAAGCCAAUCUGUGCUCGAAAGGUAAAUACAGCCACACAGGAGUCAUGAUUGAUGUCCUCCCAAAAGAAUCAUUUAAAUCCAGACAGCUAGGACAUGUUAUCCCAAAAUGUGUCACCAAUGCUCCAGACAGGGCAUUCACUGUGCCAGGGAAAGAAUUGCCAGGCAUCUGCAAAGAGGCAUAAAUACCUAGGCGUAAAGGAGGCUUGCUUACUUUAUUUCACUAAACCGUUUCUCUGCUUCCAUUCUCUAAUGAGCAUCGUAAACUCUUGCACCCCUGCUAAAAAACAAACAAUAAUGUUGCCUCCUCUUCUUUUGCCCAUAGGGUGUUUCCCCAUUACAUUCUGUCUCUUCCAGAAGCCAUUUGCCUCUUCCCCAGCUACAACUUCUCUACCUGCUCCAGCAGCUGCUUUCCUUUCAUGCUGACCUGGGAGGUUUCUUCAUCUGGGCAUUUUGGUAAUCCCGUUUGCCCCACCCUUUGCUUUCGUGCAGCUCUUGGUGAGCUGCAAAAUGCAGUGGGACGGUGGGGAGCAGCCUGGGGUUAACCUCUGCCAGGAGCUGAGGAAGGAGGAGCUUUGUGCACCGAUCUUGCUGAAGAAGAAAAUGAUUCUGAGGUGUAAACCUUUAGAGUAGUCAGAUCUAAACCAUAUACUGCUUAGAGUUUGUUAGUUGCCUGAGGAAAAUUUGGAGAUAUGAGCCAGACAAUUUUUUUUUCUUCAAGCUUUAUCAGGUGGUGAAAUGAGGAUAUUCUCUCUUUCUGAACAUUCUUUCCCCGUUGAACUGCUUCCCUUCUUACACUGGCAGAGCCAUGCAGUGUUCUUGCAGGUCUCUCAUUCCGGAGUUGAUGUCGGUAGAGGAGACUGUGGCUGUGCAUGCUGAUUUUGGCCAGCUUAGUGAGAUUCACAUGUGGUUGAGCCGAGAGCCGUGGUCAGGCUGUGUUACUCUUUCCUCAUGUAACUAUCAUCCUAGUUGUGGACACCAAGCGCUGCCAACUUUGACAAAGUCCUGUGGCUUUGCAAACAAGAGCAGCAUCUUCUAAUAGAAUACGUUGGGCAACUUUUACUGCAGGUAUCAAAAUAGCUCCCGAGAGCCACAAUAAUGGGGUCUUACAGCAAAAGUAGUUUAGUUACACAAAGUUCUUCAUGUCGGGACCACUGUUCUAUUCAACACAUCUGCAUUCAUAUCUCAGGUUUAGGAGUCCUGGAAGGCUAGCUAUGAAUUUCUUUUAUGAAAACCUUUGUGUUCUCUAAGUCAGCGCAUAUCCCCACUAUGUGUUGAGCUAUGUUGUGUUGGUAUCUCUGCUUAGAGGACCUGUUUGUUAAUUACUAUCUGAUCUAUUUAACUAACAGUAAAUGAGUCAGUAUUACAGGAUUGGGUUGGUUUUCUAUCAGAGCAAGUUGAUGGUUUAUAAAAAGACACAGUAAUGACGUGGAUGUUCAGGAAGUACCUACAGUAUCUUGUUGUUGUUUGUUUCCCCCCCCUUCCCACUCCCCCCCCCAAAAAAUGUGGUGGUGCCUGAACACAUAGAGUCAUUAAGGUUGGAAAAGACCUUUGAAGCUCAUCUAGUCUGACCAAUGGGUAUUGCUGAGAGCCAAAAGGAAACCUUCUAUAGGAUCUUUGCCUGGUGCUUUGAGUUUACUGAUUACUGCCAUGUGAAAUAUCAGUCCUCAUGUCAUCCCCUGCUCACUUGUGUCACACUGGAAGGACAGAGUCCUAUUUGGUCAGUCCCCACCUUAACCCUACUCUCAGGCUAGAAACUCAACUAUUGCACAGUGGUUCUUAAAAUCAGUUUGUCUUAAGAUGGAGCUGCGAAUUAUAGCUGUUUCAAUCCACAGCCUCCUUCAGUUGUUUAUUUUGUUGAGGGCAGCACUAAAGACCCCCCCAAAUAUUGAUUCUCUUCAGAGGAUGUACUGAACUGCCAAUAUGAGGGAGUGAUCUCUAACUGCGUGCAAGUGCUUUUACUGACUUGAGGCAUAUUUCUGCAGGUGCCACAUUUGGGGGAAAAAAAGGUCUUGAAUGAGACCCUAGAACAUGCUAAAUAUUGCAGAGAAGCAUCCCAAUGAAGUAUUUACAGAUUAAAAAAAUCCUGAUUCUGAAUUUACAAAACAUGAUUUCCUCCAUCUGUGCUCUGUGCUCAUCAUUUUGUUACAAACCAUUCCAUUCCUUCAUCACUAAUAGCUGUCUUUGAAUGCUGAAUUGGCUCAUUAGGCUCUUUUAUCCCAUGAAUGAAAUUCUUCCUCUGAGUCAAACAGGCACUCCUUUAUUUUUCCCAUUGGUUCUUAGUUAAAUAUAUCAGACUGCUUCUAAGUAAUCAAUAAAGCAGCAUGGAAAGACUUCUAAUCUUUGAACUGGUGUGGUGCAGGUCUUUUCAUUAUAAUGCCAAUGUUUCUUGAAGUCCUGUGUUGGAAUGGAAGCUGUUUGCCAUAGGUUUAAGCAUACAAUUACCCUGUUUGCUUUUGUCUGAAGGCUUCUUCCUUUCCUUGCAAGAGAGGAUAGCAAUUCUAAAAGCCUGACUUGGAUUGUGAUACAAUGUGGCAGUAUCUCUGCUAAUUAGCAGGGUCAUUUUUGUGUCAAACAGCUGUGUGAGUUCGCAAAGAACUGGGCUGCUUUGCUGAAUUAGUCUGUCAUUCAGUGGAGAAGUUGAAAGGAAUGCUCUGCCUUCUGCUUUGAUGCUAUAGCUCUUCCUGGUUGUUAAUACCAGUAUUAUGAUGAUACUGCCUGCUGUAAAUUCACUCCUUAAGUGAUCUGUUGAGCAGACUCUGUUUCUAAAUAUGGGUGUAAGUCACUUCCUUCUGUUUUACUGGCUUAAUAGACUAAGUAAAUGAAUACAGAUGUUUGAUUGCUCCCUGAAUGAGUGAGUGGAAAACCAUGAGUGAUUUUCUCAGCAUAUCAUCUUCCAGUAAAGUGAAUAUUUUUUGGGACCUGGACAUCUAGAUGUAGUGAUGAGGUUGCUGGUUAAAAUCCUGCCAAAGAUGAGUGAGAAAACUGUCCAAUGUACUGCUCACAACUUCAGGGAGGGAUGAGAGGGACUGAGGUUAUGAGUACAUCAAAACAUUGUUGCAAGGAAAGCUAAGGCCACUGUGUGGUAGUGGAGGGGAAAAGAUGUUCUUUCUGCUCCAGUAUGUAACUGAAAAAUUGUGAUCCUGAAACAUCAUGGCUCUGUUACCUUGCAUUGGUUUUGAUGUCAGGCUAAACCAGAGGCCAUGGUGCAAGCAUCACCAUCCAGAUGGCAGCUUUACUGAGAGUCAGUGGGAGCCAACUCUUCCUUUUUUUUUUUUCGGUAGCAGGUUGCAUUAAGUACAACAAUGUGGGAAAAGCAUGGGUGACAAUUUCUGAUGCAUUUGCCAUCUUGGGGUGUUUAGAUAAUGGUUUUGGUUAAACUAAUGCCUUGUGAGAUUGUGUGAAACGGAAAGAGAUGAAGGCAAAAUCCAAAUAAGAGCCAUUUGUUUGGUAGUACACAAGAGAUGUGUCUAUGAGCUGUCAUAUCAUGAUGCUUACCAUGAAAUCAGCCCAACACUAAUGCAGACAAGGCAGCGUGUUGCUAUGGCCAGCAGCAAGCUGAUGCCAGCACACUGUGCAUUGUAACCUGGCAUGAAAAAGCAGUUGUUUCAUGGGAGCACAUGGGUGAUUUAGAGGUUGAUAACAAAGUAGGGUAUUUGGACCUUCAGAUUUAAUUUCUGGAUGUGUUUCUGAUGUGGUUUGUGAUGCUUCACAAGUUACUUACUCUUUCUUCACUGAAGUCACAGAGAGAUUAGAAGAUUUGAGUGUUGUAGGGCAGUUUGAGAAGUUGCAUUGAAAGCCAAUUAUUCUUAUAAGAUUGUCCAGUGUUGUUCAUAGAGCAAGGCUACGAGACACUCCACAAUUCAUGUGAGUCUGAAGACAAAACUGUUCAGAAGUCCAUGACAGGUGAAAUGAUUGAUAAGAAAUGGCAGUCUGAACUAAUUCCAAUUUUGCUUCCAGUUUGGGAGCUUCUCCUCAGGAGAGCAAAACCUGACAUGUGCCACUCUGAAUCCUCAUGGAUGGCACAGUCUUAUUGCAUUUGUAGCUAUUGUUAUUAAGAGUCACACAAGGUAACAAAUGCUCCUUAAAUAUUUAGGAAGUUUGAUCUAGAUGAUUUUCAAGUAAUUUUAGUACUUGGUCCAAGAUUAACAGAUGUGGUCUCUACUGUUUUCCUCUGGAUACAUUUCAAAAUAACUUGCUUUCUCUGUAAGGUUGUGGCAAGCUGCAAAAAAAGUCUGGAUCAGACUUCACAGAAAUUCUGCAGCUGAUGGAAAAUUUGAAGCCAAGCAUCUCUGUGUUAUCAAUAGCGAAAACUGUUGCCGUAUUGGGUUAGCUGUGAUGUAACUCAGGAAGUGCUGUUAUCUGACCCAAGUACCUGCUAUCAUACAUUCUCUAGGCUUGGGGAAACAAUUGGUGUCCUUAGAUCUGGUGUUAUGCAACCUGACGGGGCCAGAGGCUGGGUGCAGCUCCUCAAAGCAGCACUUUCUGGUUCUUAAUGAAAAGCCCUUCCACUGGAGUGUUCUGCUUUUUCACACCCAGGACUGAUACUUGGAGUGUAAGUCAACAGCUGUUCAGCUGAAUUCAAACCACUUCAGUGUCUGCCAACAAGCCAGCAGUCAGCAUUAAUAUCCCAUAGACAAUGGAAACAAACCAGCCACUUGUUGAAGUGGGGGAGUCACUGUUGUGCAGCACAAAAUCAAAGGCCCACUGUAUGCAGAAGUGGUUUUUUUGAAAAUGCUGUGAAUACUUACUAGUCCAUAUGGCCUCAGUGUGCUGGACAUGUGGAACAAACACCACGUAAUUGAGGUCAAGUGAGUUCUUACGGCUGCUAUCCAGCACUAAGGCAAACCUUGGAGCUGGCUUACCUGCUGAGACGUACAACACAGCUGGGUGAGGUUAAGCAGAGGAGUGUUCAUGGGACACAGGGAAUAAAGUGCUGUCACUGAUAACCCAUUUUCAUGGUGGCUUUGUGGAAGCUUUGAUCUACUUAAAGUAGGGUAGCUAUGCUGCAGUCAAUUAAGCUACACCUGAAGAUAACCCAUAAAAUAGGGAUCAGUGUAUUUACUAUCUAUCUGCCUGACAGACAUGAGGAGAGAUAUUGUGCCACUUUUAAACAUGUGGAAUAUGUUUUGUAUGAAUUUUCAGUGUGAUAAUUUCUUCCUGUGUGUCCUUCUGUCGUGACCAUGUCUCUCCAUGACAAGCACCUACCCAUCGGUCUUAAAAAUAAAAGUUGCCCCUUGACAAUUGUGUUAUAAAUAUUAACUUCCUACCAGAUCUUGUGGCAGAGAACAUAGAGUAAUUUUGUGAGAGGUCAUUGCAGGGCAGAGAUUUCCUUCUUCGAAAAGGAAACAGGUGUUGAGUCCAAUGUCAAUCCAAAUAACCAUUCUAACAGCAUUCCCCAUGUGUUGAAUUUCUCUCUGCACAGCGGUGUGAGUUAGGACUCCAGGUUUUUUUCCUCAUAGCUGUCUCUACAGUGCUUAGAAGAAGCCAGGUGUGUAAGAAAGCCAGUGAAAAAGGUAACCUAUUCUUUAAGAGGGAGCUGCUUGUAGAUAGGUAGGUAGUGUCUCAUCAUACUGCCUGUUGAUAACCGCUACCAUGCUUAGGCUUUGCUGCCUUACUAUGCAGCACAUCUAGAAUUUCCCAGUAUUAGGAAUUCUUGGGAUACCUGCCAGUAACUCUGAUUCUAGCUUGAUGGGGACAAGCAAAAGUAGGGAAAGAUCUAAUCUAAGAUCUAAGACCUGAUUUCAGCAAAGAAUCCCUCUAGACAAGAACAACUACUUACGGGAAGGUUUCAGGAUGAAGAUAUUACAGCACGGUGGCAAUGUGCAAAAUGGAUUUAGUCCAUUUGAGUUGAACUAUUAAAAAUAUUUGUGAUUUAAAAUGCUCAGGCACUGAGACUUUCUUCACAGAAACAGAAUUUGCUAAAAUGAUCCCCCCUCAUGGUGGCAUGUGAGUUGUAAGGCGGUUGCAGUUAUUUGUACAAUGCUCCUCUGACUGUAAACUGUGUUCAUUAGCCUUAUGGCCUUCUAAUGAAUUCCUUUUAAAACAUGUGGCUACAAGACUGCUUUGAGAAUACAAGUUCCAAUCCUAGCCAAAGCCUUUUUGUAUUCCAAACUCCAUCUUGCACUCUUCAGUUAUCUGCAAAACUGUUUCUCUGCUUUUUGUUAACUACAAACCGCAUCUCUUCUGCUAUGCACUUGCACUCUGCUUCUUCUGUCCCUCUUAACUCUGCCUGGGGGAUGACAACUUGGAGCUUCAGCCCCAUCUUUUAAAAUAGAUUGCUCUGUCAGAAAAAUGCAUACAUCUCUUGGAUGCUAAACAUGCUUCUCCAGGUCGUGAGAAUGUUGCUUGCUGGGGCAUGGUCAGAUAGGACACUCCUUGCAGUUUAUUUUCAUUAACAGAGAAACUGGUAGAAGGAAAUGGUGUUGACUGAUAACCUAGAAAAAUCUUUUGUAUGAAAUUUUGGAGAGUUGAUCCACCUGCUGUGCUUAGGUCUGGGAUCAUUAAACAGAACAGUUUUCCCUCUUUGCAGACAUGCUAUUGCAGGCAGAAGAAUGGCCCAGCUUCUUCUGAAGGUCUGCAGAUAUGGGGUGAUUGUCUGCUGCCUGUCAGCUGCAGCAGCAUUUAAAUCUUUAGGGCAUGCAUUCACUUUCGUUCUUUGGAUACAGAAUCAAAGUCUAGAUAAUUUGUACCAUUAUUAAAAAGUUACUCUAAGUAAAUAACAAAGACACUGUUGCAAAGGGAAAUAGGCUUCUUGUCUUUUGUUUUAUGUUGGUCUUUGGGUUGUGCUAUCAUUAUGAUGCCUGAGUGCACAAGCACACUAAAUUAUGUGGGAUUUACAUACCAGGUGAUGAAUGACUUGGAUUCCUCCUCAUCCUCAUGCAUAUGCAGAGGAGCACUUACUUUGUUACAGACAUGCACAUAUUGUAUUGAUAUAUUCAAGAAGCAGAUUUGGUUUUGCAUUUGGCUGAGAAAGUGGUGACAUUUGCAGUUGUGUGGCCCAUUUCUUGUGAAUUCUGGUGUGAAAUAUGUUCCUGGUUGCAUGAAGCUGACAGAACUGAGCUACAGGCCUAACUGGCUUUAGCCUUCUGUAUAUCCCAUUAGUUUUUCUAGUUUUUAGGGAGGCAAAGCCCUCUCCCCCUUAUUGUCCCCUGUGGACAUAUUUAAGGGGAAUGCUAUUAAAAAGCAUCUCUAGAAAACUUUCCACACCUCUCCUUCUUCCUGCAGGGUUGGCCACAAGAGGGAACAAGCCAACUCAGCUUUCAGCAUGCCAUUGCUCAGAGCUAUGCUUGCCAAGGAAGGACCCCACAGGAUUUCACUAUUGUAGAGUAGAUGCAUUACUGGGAGAAAAGAGACGGCUUUUAUGGGGGCGAGGCUGUGCCUUCACUACUGCUCAGCCACUUGGGAAGUCUGUAAAAGCUUUCUGAAAUACCAAGCUCCUCCCAAAGCACCACUUGAUCCAGUGCAUUUUCAGAUUCAAAGUUAAGCCUUAAAACUUAUCCCUGUGCAAAGACCACCCAAAACUGGCUGGUUGUGCAACAAAUUUCUGUUUAUAAUUUAGUGCAAGGGUCAGAUAACUUUGCUAUGGUUCAGGUUAUCCACCCAGAGAAAGCAUGCUCUUUUGCUAAGCAUGGGAUGCAUGAGUCACUUCUAUUACCCAGACCUCUAGACAUAACAUAAAAUAGAUGGCAUGAAAUAGC